RNAcentral lists this ribosomal RNA (493 nucleotides) under uncultured bacterium. RNAcentral describes it as "partial 16S ribosomal RNA". It matches the Rfam family "Bacterial small subunit ribosomal RNA", at positions 28 to 503 of the family's 1533-position model. The record is from RNAcentral.
GAUGAACGCUGGCGGCGUGCCUAAUACAUGCAAGUCGAGCGAACAGGCGAGGAGCUUGCUCCUCUGACGUUAGCGGCGGACGGGUGAGUAACACGUGGAUAACCUACCUAUAAGACUGGGAUAACUUCGGGAAACCGGAGCUAAUACCGGAUAAUAUAUUGAACCGCAUGGUUCAAUAGUGAAAGACGGUUUUGCUGUCACUUAUAGAUGGAUCCGCGCCGCAUUAGCUAGUUGGUAAGGUAACGGCUUACCAAGGCAACGAUGCGUAGCCGACCUGAGAGGGUGAUCGGCCACACUGGAACUGAGACACGGUCCAGACUCCUACGGGAGGCAGCAGUAGGGAAUCUUCCGCAAUGGGCGAAAGCCUGACGGAGCAACGCCGCGUGAGUGAUGAAGGUCUUCGGAUCGUAAAACUCUGUUAUUAGGGAAGAACAAAUGUGUAAGUAACUAUGCACGUCUUGACGGUACCUAAUCAGAAAGCCACGGCUAACUA